CAGCCGGACCGGACGGUCGCUCUCCGCAAGGAGGGAGGAAAGUCCGAACUCCGCAGGGCAGUGUGCCGGAUAACGUCCGGGAGGCCGGGUUCAAGUCCGGUCGACGGAAAGUGCCACAGAAAAUAUACCGCCCCGUCGUCGUUGUGAGCCUGGAGCGCGCGGGUUUCAAGUCGGGCUUAGAACGACGACGGGGUAAGGGUGAAAAGGUGCGGUAAGAGCGCACCGCCGCUGCAGUAAUGCAGCGGGCAGGGCAAACCCCACACGGAGCAAGACCAAAUAGGGAGGGAGUUCCGGCUUCGGCUGGAACACGUGCCGGCUCGGUGCGUCACAACCUCCGGGUAGGUCGCUAGAGCUGCGCAGCAAUGCGCGGCCCAGAGGAAUGACCGUCCCGCCGCAAGGCGGACAAAAUUCGGCUUACAGGUCCGGCUGCCAU
RNAcentral lists this RNase P RNA (433 nucleotides) under Acidobacteriota bacterium. Its description in RNAcentral is "Acidobacteria bacterium RNase P RNA component class A". It matches the Rfam family "Bacterial RNase P class A". Rfam says of the family: Ribonuclease P (RNase P) is a ubiquitous endoribonuclease, found in archaea, bacteria and eukarya as well as chloroplasts and mitochondria. Its best characterised activity is the generation of mature 5'-ends of tRNAs by cleaving the 5'-leader elements of precursor-tRNAs. The record is from RNAcentral. Lineage: Bacteria; Pseudomonadati; Acidobacteriota.